GGAGAGGUCGCCUAGUCUGGUCCAUGGCGGAGGUUUGCUAAACCUCUGAGGUCUAAAAAGCCUCGCGUGGGUUCGAAUCCCACCCUCUCCG
This 91-nucleotide transfer RNA is filed under the name Candidatus Roizmanbacteria bacterium RIFCSPHIGHO2_01_FULL_37_16b. Its description in RNAcentral is "tRNA-Ser". It matches the Rfam family "tRNA". Rfam says of the family: Transfer RNA (tRNA) molecules are approximately 80 nucleotides in length. Their secondary structure includes four short double-helical elements and three loops (D, anti-codon, and T loops). Further hydrogen bonds mediate the characteristic L-shaped molecular structure. tRNAs have two regions of fundamental functional importance: the anti-codon, which is responsible for specific mRNA codon recognition, and the 3' end, to which the tRNAs corresponding amino acid is attached (by aminoacyl-tRNA synthetases). tRNAs cope with the degeneracy of the genetic code in two manners: having more than one tRNA (with a specific anti-codon) for a particular amino acid; and 'wobble' base-pairing, i.e. permitting non-standard base-pairing at the 3rd anti-codon position. RNAcentral also lists the same sequence under 4 other names. The record is from RNAcentral. Lineage: Bacteria; Candidatus Roizmaniibacteriota.